RNAcentral lists this ribosomal RNA (1372 nucleotides) under uncultured bacterium. Its description in RNAcentral is "bacterial SSU rRNA". It matches the Rfam family "Bacterial small subunit ribosomal RNA", at positions 28 to 1381 of the family's 1533-position model. The record is from RNAcentral.
GAUGAACGCUGGCGGCGUGCCUAAUACAUGCAAGUCGAGCGAACGGACGAGAAGCUUGCUUCUCUGAUGUUAGCGGCGGACGGGUGAGUAACACGUGGGUAACCUACCUAUAAGACUGGGAUAACUUCGGGAAACCGGAGCUAAUACCGGAUAAUAUUUUGAACCGCAUGGUUCAAAAGUGAAAGACGGUCUUGCUGUCACUUAUAGAUGGAUCCGCGCUGCAUUAGCUAGUUGGUAAGGUAACGGCUUACCAAGGCAACGAUGCAUAGCCGACCUGAGAGGGUGAUCGGCCACACUGGAACUGAGACACGGUCCAGACUCCUACGGGAGGCAGCAGUAGGGAAUCUUCCGCAAUGGGCGAAAGCCUGACGGAGCAACGCCGCGUGAGUGAUGAAGGUCUUCGGAUCGUAAAACUCUGUUAUUAGGGAAGAACAUAUGUGUAAGUAACUGUGCACAUCUUGACGGUACCUAAUCAGAAAGCCACGGCUAACUACGUGCCAGCAGCCGCGGUAAUACGUAGGUGGCAAGCGUUAUCCGGAAUUAUUGGGCGUAAAGCGCGCGUAGGCGGUUUUUUAAGUCUGAUGUGAAAGCCCACGGCUCAACCGUGGAGGGUCAUUGGAAACUGGAAAACUUGAGUGCAGAAGAGGAAAGUGGAAUUCCAUGUGUAGCGGUGAAAUGCGCAGAGAUAUGGAGGAACACCAGUGGCGAAGGCGACUUUCUGGUCUGUAACUGACGCUGAUGUGCGAAAGCGUGGGGAUCAAACAGGAUUAGAUACCCUGGUAGUCCACGCCGUAAACGAUGAGUGCUAAGUGUUAGGGGGUUUCCGCCCCUUAGUGCUGCAGCUAACGCAUUAAGCACUCCGCCUGGGGAGUACGACCGCAAGGUUGAAACUCAAAGGAAUUGACGGGGACCCGCACAAGCGGUGGAGCAUGUGGUUUAAUUCGAAGCAACGCGAAGAACCUUACCAAAUCUUGACAUCCUUUGACAACUCUAGAGAUAGAGCUUUCCCCUUCGGGGGACAAAGUGACAGGUGGUGCAUGGUUGUCGUCAGCUCGUGUCGUGAGAUGUUGGGUUAAGUCCCGCAACGAGCGCAACCCUUAAGCUUAGUUGCCAUCAUUAAGUUGGGCACUCUAAGUUGACUGCCGGUGACAAACCGGAGGAAGGUGGGGAUGACGUCAAAUCAUCAUGCCCCUUAUGAUUUGGGCUACACACGUGCUACAAUGGACAAUACAAAGGGCAGCGAAACCGCGAGGUCAAGCAAAUCCCAUAAAGUUGUUCUCAGUUCGGAUUGUAGUCUGCAACUCGACUACAUGAAGCUGGAAUCGCUAGUAAUCGUAGAUCAGCAUGCUACGGUGAAUACGUUCCCGGGUCU